This 3564-nucleotide long non-coding RNA is filed under the name Nicotiana tabacum (common tobacco). RNAcentral's name for it is "long non-coding RNA (NTAB_LNC013382)". The stretch from base 1 to 527 matches the Rfam family "Bacterial large subunit ribosomal RNA", at positions 661 to 1295 of the family's 2925-position model. The record is from RNAcentral. Lineage: Eukaryota; Viridiplantae; Streptophyta; Magnoliopsida; Solanales; Solanaceae.
CGGAGAUGUAGCGAAAGCGAGUCUUCAUAGGGCAAUUGUCACUGCUUAUGGACCCGAACCUGGGUGAUCUAUCCAUGACCAGGAUGAAGCUUGGGUAAAACUAAAUGGAGGUCCGAACCGGCUGAUGUUGAAGAAUUAGCGGAUGAGUUGUGGUUAGGGGUGAAAUGCCACUCGAACCCAGAGCUAGCUGGUUCUCCCCGAAAUACAUUAAGGCGCAACAGUUAAUUGGACAUCUAGGGGUAAAGCACUAUUUCGAUGCGGGCCACAAGAGCGGUACCAAAUUGAGGCAAACUCUGAAUACUAGAUAUGACCUCAAAAUAACAUAGGUCAAGGUCGGCUAUUAAUAUGAUGGGGGAUAAGCUUCAUCGUCGAGAGGGAAACAUCCCGGAUCAUGUGAUGACCCAAAAUAUCAUCUUUAAAUUUAAUAAUUAAUUAUGUGUUCUAAGACCUCAAAAAGCACUAUUAAUCAUUCAUCGACUUGCGUACGCAGUCCAUAAAAUUUUUCGAAAAGUUUUUAUGUGAAAAAUAGAUUAAAAUAUGAAUUAGAGCUUUAAACUCAACUAAGUUGACUUUGGUCAAUAUUUUGAGCAAACUGACUCAGAUCAGUAUUUUGACAGUUCCGGUAGGUCCGUAUCGUGAUUUGGGACAUGGGCAUAGUCCCGAAAUUUAAUUCCGAAGUCCCUAGCCCGAGAUAUGGAAUUUUGAUAAAAAACUAAAAGUUUAAGUUCAAAUAGUGACCGAAUGUCGAAUUAUAUGUAAACGACCCCGGAAUAGAAUUUUGAUGAUUCCAACAGCUCCGUAUGGUGAUUUUGGACUUAGGAGCGUGAUCGAAAAUUUAUUUGAAAGUCCGUAGUGAAAUUAGGCUUGAAAUGGCUAAAAUAGGAAUUUAAGUUUGGAAGUUUGACCGGGGAGUUGACUUUUUGAUAUCGGGGUCGGAAUCUAGUUCUAAAAGUUUUCACAGCUCCGCUAUGUAAUUUAUGACUUGUGUGCAAAAUUUGAGGUUAAUCGGACUUGAUUUGAUAGGUUUCGACAUGGAAUGUAGAAGUUGGAAAUUGAUGAGUUUCAUUAAGCUUGAAUUGGGGUGUGAUUUGUGAUUUUAGCAUUGUUUGACUUGAUUUGAGGUUUCAAAUUAGUUCGUAUGAUGUUUUAGGACUUGUUGGUGUAUUGGGUUGUGGUCCCGAGGGCUUCAGGUGAGUUUCGGAUGGUUAACGGAUCAAAAGUGGGACUUAGUUGCUGCAAUUUUUCUGCUGGAAAUGCUGUAAAAAUCGGGCUGCCUGUCAAAAUCAGGCUGCCUGUCAAAAUUAGGUUGCCUGUCAAAAUCGGGUUGCCUAUCAAAAUUGGGUACCCUGUAAAAAUCGGACUACCUGUAAAAAUCAGGCUCCCUGACAAAUCGGGCUCCCUGACAAAUUGGGCUCACUUAUAAAUCGGGCUCCCUGAAAAAUCAGGCUCUCUGACAAAUCGGGCUCCCUGACAAAUCGAGCUCCCUGACAAAUCGGACUCCUUGGCAAAUCGAUCUCCUUGACAAAUCGAGCUCCCUGACAAAUCGGGCUCCCUGACAAAUCGGGCUCCAUAACAAAUCGAACUCCUUGACAAAUCGUGCUCCCUGACAAAUUGGGCUCCCUGACUGUCACGACCCGAAAUUUUCCACCGACGGGACCGUGAUGGCGCCUAACAUUUCACUUGCUAGGCAAGCCAACGUUAGAGAAUAAUUAAACCAAUUCCUUAUUCCCAUUCAAUAAUUAACAAUAAUUAACUAAGAUGAAAUAUAAAAAGUGCGAAAUAUCAUAAAACUGUAUUACUUACUACCACCCGGAUCUGGAGUCACAAUUCAUGAACAUUCUAGAAUUUACUUCAAGUAAUAGUCUAAAAGAAAUACAAAUGUCUGAAUGAAAGAAACAGUAGAACAAAAAAGAUAGACGGGAACUUCAAGGUCUGUGAACGCCGAUAGAUCUACCUUGAGUCUCAAGACAGCGGACCAAUAUCAAAAUCUCGAUCAAUCCGAGCCGGUAUCAAAUUCUGCAUAGAAAGUGCAGAGUACAGUAUCAAUACAACCGACCCCAUAUACUGUUAAGUGUCGAGCCUAACCUUGACGAAGUAGUGACGAGGCUAAGGCAAGGCACCUACAAAUCAACCUGUACAAUUUAACAGUUUAUAUACAAAUAACAAGAAUGAAGAACUAAACAGGAAAUGUCCGGAGGGGAACAUACUAAGGGUAAUACAAGAUAAAGAACUAUAACAGAAUGAUCACCGGAGCAGUCAAUAUACCAUGAAUCAACAAGAAUAGUGAAUACAGUAAGGAAAAAUGCACGGCAUCACCCUUCGUGCUUUUACUCUUAAUCUCACCAUAAAAUUAAUAGAAACGACACCACAUCACCCUUCGUGCAUUAACACUCACAUCAUGGCACGACAUCACUCUUCGUGCAUUAACACUCACAAUAUGGCACGGCAUCACCCUUUGUGUAUUAACACUCACAAUAUGGCACGACAUCACCCUUCGUGCAUUAACACUCACAAUAUGGCACGACAUCACCCUUACGUGCAUUAACACUCUCCCUUACCACUAAUNNNNNNNNNNNNNNNCAUGAUAAGAGCGAUAAAUUGAACAACACUAGUAUAACACGUAGCGAUUUGGCAUAGGAAUGAGACAAUAUAAGAAAAAUAGAGAAACAUGGAAAAUAGGUAAAUUGACGGCGCAAAAGUACUCAUCACCUCACAUAUACACUGCUCACAUGAAUUUCACUUAUCAAGUAAUCUAAGGUUCCUAAUUCCCUCAAGUGAGGGUUAGACACAACACUUACCUCGCUUCGAAGGCCACUUAAUUCUCAAUCACAUCUUUUCCUUUGGAAUUCACCUCCAAACUACUCAUAUCUAUUCAAAAAAUGACUCAAUAAUAUCAAAUAUUGCUAAAGGAAUCAAAUAUAUUGCAUAAAUUAAAUUUUCCAAAUUUUCUUCCAAAAAGUCAAAAAAUCGACCCCAGGCCCACUUGGUCAAAACCCGAGGUUCGCACCAAAAUCUAUUUACCCAUUCAUCCCCGAGCCUAAAUAUAUAAUUGGUUUUGGAAUCCGACCUCAAAUUGAGGUCUAAAUUCCCAAAUUUCCGAAAUCCUUAGUUUCUACCCUAACCCCUAAUUCUUCCAUGAAAACUCUAGAUUUUAAGUUGAAAAUUCAAGAAAUGUAAUGGGUAAUUGAAAGAAAAUGGUUUAGAAUAACUUACCAACAAUUUGGGGAAGAAAUGGCUCUUGAAAAAUCGCCUCUCGACGUUUGGUUUUUGAGAAAAAUAAUUUUUGGCUAAAAUCCAGUUUUUGGAUUCUGUUAGAUGCUGGGCGACAAUGUUCAUCACGUUCGCGAGAGCACUGUCGCGUUCGCGAAGGGUCCUGGCUGCCAAGCCUUCACGUUCGCGAGACCCAGCUCGCGUUCGCGAUGGUUACUCCCCCCCGGCCUUCGCGUUCGCGAGGUAUUGCUCGCAUUCGCAAUGAAGGAACGACUAACUCCCCCUCCCCAAUGCCUAACACUACGGAAACCUUUCGGAAACAUAAAAUCUUUCCGGAAACCUACCCGAACUACG